UAUUUUGUAGGUCUUCUUUUCUAGAAAUCAACAGCUCAAGGUAUUCUUCUUCUCUCUAUUAUUUUCUCUAUUGUCUCUUAUAUAUAGUUUUCUUGCAUCUUUUACAUUGAGGACAAUGCAAUGUUUAAGUUGGGGGGAGAAAAAUAUUUUGAUCAAAAAAAAAAAAAAACUUGUUUUUGCAUUUGAUUUAUUAUUUUCUUUUCUGAGCAAAUGC
This 214-nucleotide long non-coding RNA is filed under the name Phoenix dactylifera (date palm). Its description in RNAcentral is "long non-coding RNA (PDAC_LNC005971)". Lineage: Eukaryota; Viridiplantae; Streptophyta; Magnoliopsida; Arecales; Arecaceae. The record is from RNAcentral.